UCGUCACACUAUCAUUAACUGAAUCCAUAGGUUAAUGAGGCGAACCGGGGGAACUGAAACAUCUAAGUACCCCGAGGAAAAGAAAUCAACCGAGAUUCCCCCAGUAGCGGCGAGCGAACGGGGAGGAGCCCAGAGCCUGAAUCAGCAUGUGUGUUAGUGGAAGCGUCUGGAAAGUCGCGCGAUACAGGGUGACAGCCCCGUACACAAAAGCGCAUGUGUUGUGAGCUCGAUGAGUAGGGCGGGACACGUGGUAUCCUGUCUGAAUAUGGGGGGACCAUCCUCCAAGGCUAAAUACUCCUGACUGACCGAUAGUGAACCAGUACCGUGAGGGAAAGGCGAAAAGAACCCCGGCGAGGGGAGUGAAAAAGAACCUGAAACCGUGUACGUACAAGCAGUGGGAGCACCCUUCGGGGUGUGACUGCGUACCUUUUGUAUAAUGGGUCAGCGACUUAUAUUCUGUAGCAAGGUUAACCGAAUAGGGGAGCCGGAGGGAAACCGAGUCUUAAUUGGGCGUUAAGUUGCAGGGUAUAGACCCGAAACCCGGUGAUCUAGCCAUGGGCAGGUUGAAGGUUGGGUAACACUAACUGGAGGACCGAACCGACUAAUGUUGAAAAAUUAGCGGAUGACCUGUGGCUGGGGGUGAAAGGCCAAUCAAACCGGGAGAUAGCUGGUUCUCCCCGAAAGCUAUUUAGGUAGCGCCUCGUGAAUUCAUCUCCGGGGGUAGAGCACUGUUUCGGCUAGGGGGCCAUCCCGGCUUACCAACCCGAUGCAAACUGCGAAUACCGGAGAAUGUUAUCACGGGAGACACACGGCGGGUGCUAACGUCCGUCGUGAAGAGGGAAACAACCCAGACCGCCAGCUAAGGUCCCAAAGUCAUGGUUAAGUGGGAAACGAUGUGGGAAGGCCCAGACAGCCAGGAUGUUGGCUUAGAAGCAGCCAUCAUUUAAAGAAAGCGUAAUAGCUCACUGGUCGAGUCGGCCUGCGCGGAAGAUGUAACGGGGCUAAACCAUGCACCGAAGCUGCGGCAGCGACACUGUGUGUUGUUGGGUAGGGGAGCGUUCUGUAAGCCUGUGAAGGUGUGUCGUGAGGCAUGCUGGAGGUAUCAGAAGUGCGAAUGCUGACAUAAGUAACGAUAAAGCGGGUGAAAAGCCCGCUCGCCGGAAGACCAAGGGUUCCUGUCCAACGUUAAUCGGGGCAGGGUGAGUCGACCCCUAAGGCGAGGCCGAAAGGCGUAGUCGAUGGGAAACGGGUUAAUAUUCCCGUACUUGGUGUUACUGCGAAGGGGGGACGGAGAAGGCUAUGUUGGCCGGGCGACGGUUGUCCCGGUUUAAGCGUGUAGGUGUGUGUUCCAGGUAAAUCCGGUUCACUUUAACACUGAGGCGUGACGACGAGGCACUACGGUGCUGAAGCAACAAAUGCCCUGCUUCCAGGAAAAGCCUCUAAGCAUCAGGUAACAUCAAAUCGUACCCCAAACCGACACAGGUGGUCAGGUAGAGAAUACCAAGGCGCUUGAGAGAACUCGGGUGAAGGAACUAGGCAAAAUGGUGCCGUAACUUCGGGAGAAGGCACGCUGACACGUAGGUGAAGUGAUUUACUCAUGGAGCUGAAGUCAGUCGAAGAUACCAGCUGGCUGCAACUGUUUAUUAAAAACACAGCACUGUGCAAACACGAAAGUGGACGUAUACGGUGUGACGCCUGCCCGGUGCCGGAAGGUUAAUUGAUGGGGUCAGCGCAAGCGAAGCUCCUGAUCGAAGCCCCGGUAAACGGCGGCCGUAACUAUAACGGUCCUAAGGUAGCGAAAUUCCUUGUCGGGUAAGUUCCGACCUGCACGAAUGGCGUAAUGAUGGCCAGGCUGUCUCCACCCGAGACUCAGUGAAAUUGAACUCGCUGUGAAGAUGCAGUGUACCCGCGGCAAGACGGAAAGACCCCGUGAACCUUUACUAUAGCUUGACACUGAACAUUGAGCCUUGAUGUGUAGGAUAGGUGGGAGGCUUUGAAGCGUGGACGCCAGUCUGCGUGGAGCCGACCUUGAAAUACCACCCUUUAAUGUUUGAUGUUCUAACGUGGACCCGUGAUCCGGGUUGCGGACAGUGUCUGGUGGGUAGUUUGACUGGGGCGGUCUCCUCCUAAAGAGUAACGGAGGAGCACGAAGGUUGGCUAAUCCUGGUCGGACAUCAGGAGGUUAGUGCAAUGGCAUAAGCCAGCUUGACUGCGAGCGUGACGGCGCGAGCAGGUGCGAAAGCAGGUCAUAGUGAUCCGGUGGUUCUGAAUGGAAGGGCCAUCGCUCAACGGAUAAAAGGUACUCCGGGGAUAACAGGCUGAUACCGCCCAAGAGUUCAUAUCGACGGCGGUGUUUGGCACCUCGAUGUCGGCUCAUCACAUCCUGGGGCUGAAGUAGGUCCCAAGGGUAUGGCUGUUCGCCAUUUAAAGUGGUACGCGAGCUGGGUUUAGAACGUCGUGAGACAGUUCGGUCCCUAUCUGCCGUGGGCGCUGGAGAACUGAGGGGGGCUGCUCCUAGUACGAGAGGACCGGAGUGGACGCAUCACUGGUGUUCGGGUUGUCAUGCC
This 2567-nucleotide ribosomal RNA is filed under the name Salmonella enterica subsp. enterica serovar Stanley. RNAcentral describes it as "partial 23S ribosomal RNA". It matches the Rfam family "Bacterial large subunit ribosomal RNA", at positions 140 to 2730 of the family's 2925-position model. Lineage: Bacteria; Pseudomonadati; Pseudomonadota; Gammaproteobacteria; Enterobacterales; Enterobacteriaceae. The record is from RNAcentral.